This 22-nucleotide microRNA is filed under the name Callorhinchus milii (elephant shark). RNAcentral's name for it is "Cmi-Mir-451_5p (mature (guide))". Lineage: Eukaryota; Metazoa; Chordata; Chondrichthyes; Chimaeriformes; Callorhinchidae. The record is from RNAcentral.
AAACCGUUACCAUUACUUGUAU